UCCAUGUCGAGGGUGGAAGUGCAGAGGAGCUCGGCAAACAUCAGUCGCAUCACUUCCACUCUCAAGUCUUGCUCAGCGAGAAAGAUUUUUUGCUGGAAUCAAGCAGACGAGAAGCUGUGAAGAUGUGUCAAGUGGCGGACCAGCGCUUCCUGUUCUUCUCCGCUGAAUCCCUUCCUGUAAGGCCGGCUCAGUGGUGCCUGGCCUGUUGAGGCGGAACGUGCGACUGCACUGCAGGAGCGCAACCGAACGCUGAAACCAGGCUGACUUAAUACCCUCCAACAAGCAACGCCUGUUUAAGUGACACGAGUCAGCCGACGGUGUGAAAUCAACAAGCUGGGCCCGAAUACAGCCACGACAGAGGAGAUGUUCGCCGAGCACAGCGCCCUCUGCGGACAAGGAAAGCCUCCGGCCCCUCGUAAUCCACAUCUGGGCAGACCUCACCCGCCGUCAAGGAUGCGACGCCAACACCGGCUCCCCAAACGCCAUCCGGCACGGAGAACCUCCCGGACCGCAAAGGACACGUGGGCCCCGCAACGGCUGGCGACCGGCUGCGCCGGCAGACUAGUGCACAAAGCCAGUGGGAUGGCAAAAGACCCUUCUUUCUGGAACAUUCCGGUCUGGAAGAACGAGCCUCCAAAACAGAUGUUCAAGGCAUCUGCUCCCCUCGCCCACGCGAACAACGAAUGACUUUGGAGUUGUCAAAAUGACUUUUAUUCACCUUUCUGGGGUUGCACGCCUUUCCUUUCCAAUGUAUUCUUUGACUGUUCCAUAACUGCGGUGUAACUUCUUGGAGGUGUUCCCUUGUUUGUCUCAUCCAAGGACAUUCCCAAGCGGGCUACAACAGAUGGUGGCAACGUCCUGAAGGAGCUUCCUUAUCGUCCGUUUGUGUUUUUCGACUUGCGGGCUUAGAGAGGCUCGCAAAGAGCCUCAGGACAGCCGGCCGUCCUUUUACACCUGAGCUGUGCAUAUGGUCUGAUCCGAAUGAAUCCGCGCAUUACCCGACUGGAAAUAAUGGCAGUGUGUUUCUCUUGAUGCGUUUUUUAGUGCUGGGCAAAUGAUACCGAGGCUUCAGCGCUCGUGUCACUCUUCCCGAAGCGGAGUGAUUCGAAAUGCUUGUAUCGGCGCUUGUAUCGAAACACCAGUGUCACGUGACCGAUGACGUUUCGCUUCGCGCUUCAAAAUGUUGCUAAGCUUUUCAUUGGCUCAUAGUCUUUUGGUGUGUGUCAUGGCUCAUGGAGUUUCAAGUUUAAUUUCUUCUUUGGGUUAAUCUGGAAUGUGUUUUAGAGUACGGGGGAGAGCAUCUGCAUAUUUGAUUACGUCAAUUUGUCCUAAUCAUUAUUUGGUAUGAAUGAACGAAACACUCGAAUGACUUUUCUGAACUUUUAUUGGUGUCAUGGGAAACAGUGCCAGUCGUGCUCUUUAGAGGUUGCUAUGGCCUCAGUUGUCCACCAGAGGUCACUGUAGCCUUGAAUCUUUUUCGGCACAAUUGUUAGGAAAGCCUCAGUUAUUUUCCCAAUUGUGAAACAGCUUUACAUUGGCGCUGUGCUAAAAGUUGGAUUUGAUUCUCUUCGAGUCGGCUGUUAAACCGGAUGUUAGCAUUGUCCCGGGCUAGCUUGCUCGCCACGAACAAAAACACGGAAACCGAAACACUUUGCACUCACUGAGAAU
Molecule: long non-coding RNA, 1668 nt
Organism: Phyllopteryx taeniolatus (common seadragon)
Lineage: Eukaryota; Metazoa; Chordata; Actinopteri; Syngnathiformes; Syngnathidae
Exons: 3
Source: RefSeq, a predicted model, not a curated record